Molecule: long non-coding RNA, 2128 nt
Filed under: Heterocephalus glaber (naked mole-rat)
Lineage: Eukaryota; Metazoa; Chordata; Mammalia; Rodentia; Bathyergidae
Description: lncRNA (ENSHGLG00100052390.1)
Rfam family: tRNA (bases 301-383)
Source: RNAcentral
AAAAUUAAAGUGACAGAAGCCUUUAAUCCGCACUCGGCCGCGCCCUGGUUGGGGACAAAGGCGGUCGCUCCGGCGCGUCGGGCCCCCUCCCGAGGCUCCUCCAUCGCUUUCCCGGGGCUCCGGUUUCUGGGUACUGAACCCAGAGAUCCACGAGAUGCGAUCGAGGAGACGCGGGCUGAGCGUGGCUUUGCUCGUUCUGUUUCCAUGCAACGCUCGCGAUCCGAAUCCAUCCCGAGCUGUUCGGAAACUUCAGUCCGUGUUGCCCGAGUCGCCCGGAAGGAAAACGCCAUCCGGCAGGGUGCCGGGGUGGCCGAAUGGUUAGAGCGUCGGACUUAGGGCUCCGUGGUCUCUGGGGUGCGCGGGUUCGAACCCCACUUCUGGCGGCUCUGUGUUCGCCCUUCGGCGUUCCCUGUUGGGACUUUAGGUGCGCAGACGCCGGGAUCUGGGUCUGAAUCUGAACCCCAGACAGUUCCUUUUCGCCAGAGCAGAGAAUGCGGGACGACUUGAGAAUCCACGGCUGGGAAGGAGCGAAGGCAGCGUCCACCGAAAGCAGACCCGAUCCUCUCCACCGAUGUUGCUGCGCCGCCGCGCAAAGGCCCGAGGGGCGGGAGGAGGAGCCGGCCGGCCUGCGGGCGGACGCGCGGGAGGACUGAGGAGGGGCCGGCGCUGCGAGAGGCUUCGGGUGGCCCCGCGGGCGGCGCGGAGGAACCAAGGCGGCGCCGGGACCACCGGGCUCGGUCCUCAGCGCCCUGCUUUGAGCUGUGAGGCUGGAGAACAGCGGGAGCAAGGAGGCCCGGCCUGGCCGCCCUUCACCGCCCCAGGCCGGCGGUGCCCAACCCCGCCCUGCUGCAGCAGCGGCCGGGCUCCGCUCCAAAGGCCGCGCAGUGCCGCCGAACGGAGAGCGCCUCUCGUCCGCGCCCGGACAGGCCGGCCGCAAGGUCGGGGCUGAGACAGAGCGACCACCACGGCUGGAGGCCUGGAGGAGGAGGAGGAGGACCGGGUAGGGGCGCUCGGGCGCACUCCGGCUCUGCCUCUCGUCCCGGAGCCCCGACUUGGCCCCGCUGUCACCCGCAGACGUGCGCGGCGCCCCCAGGCCUCGGCGCGGCCGUGCGGACAUCGGCCCCGGGGCAAGGUGGCCACCGAGGAUCCGAACACGGCUUUCUCUAAAUGCCGCCGACACAGUGCCUUAAGAGUGCUCCGCUUCUCUGCGAACCUGCAGACGCCUUCCCGGUGGAUUCUGGACCCCGCCCCGCCCGCGAUCCCCUCGGUUCCGAAGCCGCGAGCCGCGCAGAGGGACUACACGCAGCCAGCGAGGGGAGGCACCCAUCUGGGCCGGGCUGCGGAUGCAGAUCUGGACGCUGAGACCCCGCCCCGAAAGAUGAGGCUGCGCCCCGCCCGGCCGCGAGCAGGAGGAGCCAAGGGUCCCAGCCGCAGCGCACGGCCAAGGCCGGGACCCGAGGGCAGCCACGUCCCAGUCCGCAAGCCGAGAAACGGACAAGGAGUGAAGCGAUCCCGGUCACGCCCACCGAAGGGUACGCCCUCGGCCACACCCCACCCACGGCCGGCCUCUCGGCCUCCCUCGCCCCGCCCAUAGCCGGCCCCGCGCACGCGCAGCUGGGGCCUCGGUCCGCCCCAGGACGCACCCGGACACCUCCGGCUUUCGGGCCUGUGCUCUUCCCGGGCUAGCUGGAUGUCACCUCCCUUUCUGUUCCCUUGCCCUCCUUCCUCCCAGCACCUGACUCUCGUAAUAAAAGAAUAGAAAGAGAAAAACAAGUGUAUGAACGUGUGUCUCAUGUACAGAAAGGGAGAUGCCAGGAAAUGAGUCAUUCUUAAAGACGCGGAGGGCUUGGAACUCCAGUUUGUACGGCAUCGUCAGAAAACAAAAUUUGGGGCGCGAUGACGACGCCAAGGAAAACCUCGGGUUUCCAGGGACAGCCAGAUGACUCGGCCCGGGACCUGCGGCCUCCGGCAGCCCCAGCACGCCUCGCUGCGACUCCGCUCCGCGCUGAGAACGGCUAGGGCUUCGAGGGCAAAGGCCCAGGUUUCCGGGGGCGACUCCCCCCGUGAGGCCGAGGUGGACGAUCUCGAGGCUGAGGGCAGCAGUGCAGUCUCGCUCCCCCCUUCCUGG